This 72-nucleotide transfer RNA is filed under the name Camelus bactrianus (Bactrian camel). It matches the Rfam family "tRNA". Rfam says of the family: Transfer RNA (tRNA) molecules are approximately 80 nucleotides in length. Their secondary structure includes four short double-helical elements and three loops (D, anti-codon, and T loops). Further hydrogen bonds mediate the characteristic L-shaped molecular structure. tRNAs have two regions of fundamental functional importance: the anti-codon, which is responsible for specific mRNA codon recognition, and the 3' end, to which the tRNAs corresponding amino acid is attached (by aminoacyl-tRNA synthetases). tRNAs cope with the degeneracy of the genetic code in two manners: having more than one tRNA (with a specific anti-codon) for a particular amino acid; and 'wobble' base-pairing, i.e. permitting non-standard base-pairing at the 3rd anti-codon position. Lineage: Eukaryota; Metazoa; Chordata; Mammalia; Artiodactyla; Camelidae. RNAcentral also lists the same sequence under 2 other names. The record is from Rfam by way of RNAcentral.
GGAUACAUAGCUCAGUCGUAGAGCACGUGCUUAGCAUGCAUGAAGUCCUGAGUUCAAUCCCCAGUAUCUCCA